GAUGAACGCUGGCGGCGUGCCUAAUACAUGCAAGUCGAGCGAACAGACGAGGAGCUUGCUCCUCUGACGUUAGCGGCGGACGGGUGAGUACCACGUGGAUAACCUACCUAUAAGACUGGGAUAACUUCGGGAAACCGGAGCUAAUACCGGAUAAUAUAUUGAACCGCAUGGUUCAAUAGUGAAAGACGGUUUUGCUGUCACUUAUAGAUGGAUCCGCGCCGCAUUAGCUAGUUGGUAAGGUAACGGCUUACCAAGGCAACGAUGCGUAGCCGACCUGAGAGGGUGAUCGGCCACACUGGAACUGAGACACGGUCCAGACUCCUACGGGAGGCAGCAGUAGGGAAUCUUCCGCAAUGGGCGAAAGCCUGACGGAGCAACGCCGCGUGAGUGGUGAAGGUCUUCGGAUCGUAAAACUCUGUUAUUAGGGAAGAACAAAUGUGUAAGUAACUAUGCACGUCUUGACGGUACCUAAUCAGAAAGCCACGGCUAACUACGUG
RNAcentral lists this ribosomal RNA (497 nucleotides) under uncultured bacterium. RNAcentral's name for it is "partial 16S ribosomal RNA". It matches the Rfam family "Bacterial small subunit ribosomal RNA", at positions 28 to 507 of the family's 1533-position model. The record is from RNAcentral.